Molecule: non-coding RNA, 1172 nt
Organism: Physcomitrium patens
Lineage: Eukaryota; Viridiplantae; Streptophyta; Bryopsida; Funariales; Funariaceae
Source: RefSeq, a predicted model, not a curated record
CUCCAAUUUGCUACAAUAAUCUGCUCCGUGUCGCCCACCAGCCAGCUCGGAGUUCUCUUUCUGGGCAGCCGCUCCAGACUCUCGCUGCUGUGGACGUUGCCAAUUAUCGAGCCUGUUGGUACUGGAAGAAUAGCUAUCUGAUUAUCGCAGCUGGUGAGAAUUCUCGCUGAGAUCCGGAGUUGCUGUAGCCUCUCAGGAGUUACGAAUUGGUGGCAUGCUCAUUGAGGGUUCUGGAGUUCACAGAGCGGAUGUUAGAGGAGGUUUGUAUUGUGAGGUCUUCUGCGUCUCGUGUGGUUUGGUGAAGGUUGCGGAAGUCAACAGAUUUGAAUUGUUUGUUCAGCAGUGGCUAAGGUGUAGUGAUCGAGAAGAUUUUGUUUUUCAAUAUCUUUGAAUUAAAGCCCCAUUUGAGACAGCCAUGGCUGUGGGGCACUGCGGGAAGCAGUCGACAAACCCAUUUGAGACAUCUGACAGCGAGGUUUCAUACGUCAACCCUUUUGAUGACGACGAUGAUGCGCUUGAAGUGAGCUCUGCGCAUUUUGCUUCUUCAGCUUCGGUCCCGAAAGAGGUGAACCGUGGUAGCUAUUCCUGUGAGGAGGAUGGGGAGGAUCUCAUACCAGUGAAGGUGGAGAGGACAUCCGACAAAGUGCGGCAUCCAUUAAUGGAGCCCAGGACGAUGAAGCGUUGAGCGAUCUGAGCAACCUGAUUGGCCAGCUCAAGAACAUGUCCCUCUUAAUUAAUUCGGAAAUUUCGAAACAAACUGAAGGCUUGGCUCACCUAGUGUACGAUGUAGAAGAACUUAACGCUCGAGUGAAAGGUGCCAACGUCAGAGGUCAUCAACUCCGUAGAUGAUACUCGUACCGUAUGAGCGGCAAAGAGUCCUUUUUAGUCACAAAAUAACCAAUUCUCGACCCUUAAUUUUAGUGUGAAAGAAUGUUGUAAAAUGUUUUAGAAAUCAAUGAGUUUUUAGAGAAUAUAUCAUUAUUUGGUGUGGAAAUUGGGACCCAAUGAACUAUUCUUAGUCACGUUACUUUGAUUAUUUUAAGGUAGAGAUCAAAAACAUGCUUGCAAUCACAACAGUUCUCGCAGCAUUCGACGGCUCGGAGAAGUCUCAAUGCUACAAUAAUCUGUUAAUAAAUCUUGCUAUCCAUAACAAAUUUUCAGUUCUCUCUCAA